Molecule: ribosomal RNA, 253 nt
Filed under: uncultured bacterium
Lineage: Bacteria
Description: partial 16S ribosomal RNA
Rfam family: Bacterial small subunit ribosomal RNA
Source: RNAcentral
UACGUAGGGGGCUAGCGUUGUCCGGAUUUACUGGGCGUAAAGCGCACGUAGGCGGCUUUGUAAGUUAGAGGUGAAAGCCCAGGGCUCAACCCUGGAAUUGCCUUUAAGACUGCAUCGCUUGAAGAUCGGAGAGGUAAGUGGAAUUCCGAGUGUAGAGGUGAAAUUCGUAGAUAUUCGGAAGAACACCAGUGGCGAAGGCGACUUACUGGACGAUUGUUGACGCUGAGGUGCGAAAGCGUGGGGAGCAAACAGG